This 1039-nucleotide ribosomal RNA is filed under the name uncultured organism. RNAcentral describes it as "bacterial SSU rRNA". It matches the Rfam family "Bacterial small subunit ribosomal RNA", at positions 24 to 1079 of the family's 1533-position model. The record is from RNAcentral.
UCAGGACGAACGCUGGCGGCGUGCUUACACAUGCAAGUCGAGCGGAGAUUGCUUUAUGUAAUCUUAGCGGCGGACGGGUGAGUAACGCGUAGGCAACCUGCCUUGCACAGAGGGAUAACACCGGGAAACUGGUGCUAAUACCACAUGAUAUCAUAACAAGGCAUCUUGAAAUGAUCAAAGGAGAAAUCCGGUGCAAGAUGGGCCUGCGUCCGAUUAGUUAGUUGGUGAGGUAACGGCUCACCAAGGCGACGAUCGGUAGCCGAACUGAGAGGUUGAUCGGCCACAUUGGGACUGAGACACGGCCCAGACUCCUACGGGAGGCAGCAGUGGGGAAUAUUGCGCAAUGGGGGGAACCCUGACGCAGCAACGCCGCGUGAAGGAAGAAGGCCUUCGGGUUGUAAACUUUUUUGAUUGGGGAAGAAAAAAAUGACGGUACCCAAGGAACAAGCCACGGCUAACUACGUGCCAGCAGCCGCGGUAAUACGUAGGUGGCGAGCGUUGUCCGGAAUUACUGGGUGUAAAGGGCGUGUAGGCGGGAUUGUAAGUCAGAUGUGAAAUUCCAGGGCUUAACUCUGGAGGUGCAUCUGAAACUAUAAUUCUUGAGUGCUGGAGAGGAAAGCGGAAUUCCUAGUGUAGCGGUGAAAUGCGUAGAUAUUAGGAAGAACACCAGUGGCGAAGGCGGCUUUCUGGACAGUAACUGACGCUGAGGCGCGAAAGCGUGGGGAGCAAACAGGAUUAGAUACCCUGGUAGUCCACGCUGUAAACGAUGGAUACUAGGUGUAGGAGGUAUCGACCCCUUCUGUGCCGGAGUUAACACAAUAAGUAUUCCACCUGGGGAAUACGGCCGCAAUGCUGAAACUUCAAGGGAAUUGACGGGGGCCCGCACAAGCCGUGGAAUAUGUGGUUUAAUUCGAAAACAACGCGAAAAAACCUUACCAGGGCUUGACACCCAUCGGAUAACAUAGAGAUAUGUUAGUCAUUCGGGACGAGGAGACAGGUGGUGCAUGGUUGUCGUCAGCUCGUGUCGUGAGAUGUUGGG